This is a non-coding RNA of Talpa occidentalis (Iberian mole), 582 nucleotides long. Lineage: Eukaryota; Metazoa; Chordata; Mammalia; Eulipotyphla; Talpidae. The record is from the annotation of a RefSeq genome assembly.
AUGGCCUGGUCCCCUCUUCUCCUCAUGCCUCUCUCUCAUUGCACAGGAUCCUGGGCCCAGUCUGUGCUGACUCAGCCACAAUCAGUGUCUGGGAACCUGGGCCAGAGGGUCUCCCUCUCCUGCACUGGAAGCAGCUCCAACAUUGGGACUUACAGUGUGGCCUGGCUCCAACAGCUCCCAGGAACAGCCCCCAAACUCCUGAUACAUGGUACCAGCAAUCGACCUGCGGGGGUCCCUGAUCGAUUCUCUGGCUCCAAGUCUGGCAGCUCAGCCACCCUGACCAGGGCUGGUCUCCAGCCUGACGACGAGGCUGAUUAUUACUGCCAGAGCUAUGACUACAGUCUCAGUGCCCCCCCCCUUGCUCCAGGCCUGUGGGAACGUGAAUGGUUGACAAUGCACCGAGAAUUUAAUCAAAAAACAUCACACUAUGUCCUCGGUUUUCCUGUGUAUCCCUGGAGGUUAGCCUUCCCCAGUCUUACCAUCUUGUUUACUCAGCCGGUGCCCAAGCCUAUCUUGAAGGAGGGGCUUGAUCCGGUUCCUGAGAGGGGAAGAUUUGCAUGGAGACCUCCCACCUGUGAAUAG